CCUACGGGUGGCAGCAGUGAGGAAUAUUGGUCAAUGGGCGAGAGCCUGAACCAGCCAAGUCGCGUGAGGGAAGACGGUCCUAUGGAUUGUAAACCUCUUUUGCCGGGGAGCAAAAAGCGGUACGUGUACCGCAUCGAGCGUACCCGGAGAAAAAGCAUCGGCUAACUCCGUGCCAGCAGCCGCGGUAAUACGUAGGGGGCAAGCGUUAUCCGGAUUUACUGGGUGUAAGGGGAGCGUAGGCGGCGAUGCAAGUCAGAAGUGAAAGCCCGGGGCUCAACUCCGGGACUGCUUUGGAACAGGUGUUGCUGGAGUGCAGGAGAGGUAAGGGGAAUUCGGGGUGUAGCGGUG
This 348-nucleotide ribosomal RNA is filed under the name uncultured bacterium. RNAcentral describes it as "partial 16S ribosomal RNA". It matches the Rfam family "Bacterial small subunit ribosomal RNA", at positions 338 to 683 of the family's 1533-position model. The record is from RNAcentral.